Molecule: long non-coding RNA, 709 nt
Organism: Haplochromis burtoni (Burton's mouthbrooder)
Lineage: Eukaryota; Metazoa; Chordata; Actinopteri; Cichliformes; Cichlidae
Exons: 3
Source: RefSeq, a predicted model, not a curated record
UUGCACACUGUACCUUUAAGUAUUACAAAAUUAUCUUUGGAAUUUGUUAUGAGAAUGAUUUGGCCAAUCCUGCAAACUAAAGCUGGAAAUCUGAAUCUCACUGGUCUUAAGUUACUCUGAAUGUGUAAAUUUGUGCCUGCAUACAAAGACUGUUUGUAUGUCAAACCAGAAAUUUAAAUGAACCAGGAAGGAAACUUGAGCUCGAGUCAGCCCAGGAUCACACUCCACUUUAAAGACCAAGUCUGCAUUAUUCAUUAUGCAGUAUUGGCUGGACGAGCCUCGGGCCACACCUCUGGCAUGUUAGAAGUCUGAUGAGACAUACACUCGAGAGGCGCUCAUCCCAAACAUGCAGGAGAAGCGUGGCUUGGCUUAGGAUCUCGCAGAUCUGAUAAAGACCCAACAAGUGAGCCCUUUCCUUCCUGAGUGGAGAACUGUUUGUGUUACAACGUUCUGCGUCUCUUCUUCUGGGUGUGGGAACCUGCCCCUCCCAGAGUCCAUGGUUUCCUCUCACCAAGGACCCGCCACCAGCUAUCCUAUGUUUCACUCAGCCCUAAAUGUGACUGAAGAGAGCUGCAAAUGCUAAAAAUCUGCUCAAGUGAAGUUCUUAUCUGCAUGUACGAUAAACCGUCUCAAAGUCAUAUAGAGGGUUUGUAAUAAUAUAAGCGUAUACAACACAUAUAUAUAUAUAAAUAAAGAAUGUAUCUACAAC